Molecule: ribosomal RNA, 253 nt
Filed under: uncultured bacterium
Lineage: Bacteria
Description: partial 16S ribosomal RNA
Rfam family: Bacterial small subunit ribosomal RNA
Source: RNAcentral
UACAGAGGUGGCAAGCGUUGUUCGGAAUUACUGGGCGUAAAGGGCGCGUAGGCGGUCCUGUAAGUCCUGUGUGAAAUCCCUCGGCUCAACUGAGGAACUGCACGGGAUACUGGCUCGCUAGAGUGCGGUAGAGGGUGGUGGAAUUCCCGGUGUAGCAGUGAAAUGCGUAGAGAUCGGGAGGAACAUCUGUGGCGAAGGCGGCCACCUGGACCAACACUGACACUGAGGCACGAAAGCGUGGGGAGCAAACAGG